GACGAACGCUGGCGGCGUGCUUAACACAUGCAAGUCGAGCGGUAAGGCCCUUUCGGGGGUACACGAGCGGCGAACGGGUGAGUAACACGUGGGUGACCUGCCCUCAGCUCUGGGAUAAGCCUGGGAAACUGGGUCUAAUACUGGAUAUGACUCCACGGCGCAUGUCGUGGGGUGGAAAGCCUUGUGCGGCUGAGGAUGGGCCCGCGGCCUAUCAGCUUGUUGGUGGGGGGAUGGCCUA
This 238-nucleotide ribosomal RNA is filed under the name uncultured bacterium. Its description in RNAcentral is "partial 16S ribosomal RNA". It matches the Rfam family "Bacterial small subunit ribosomal RNA", at positions 28 to 267 of the family's 1533-position model. The record is from RNAcentral.